AUGGAGCUCAAUGUUCACCUCCGUGCUACUGAUGGUGAUCCCCUCCCUGGCCCGACGCAUUAUCGUCAUCUUGUUGGCAGUCUUGUCUAUCUAGCUGUCACUCGUGCGGAUAUCUCUUAUCUGGUUCAUAUUCUAAGUCAAUUCGUCUCUGCUCCACAUCGGUUCACUAUAGUCAUCUCCUUCGUGUUCUCCAAUAUCUUCAGGGCACAAUCUCUCACCGUCUAUUAUUUCCUCGCUCUAGUUCUUUACAGCUUCAGGCCUAUUCGGAUGCUACGUGGGCUAGUGAUCCUUCAGAUCGCCAUUCACUUUCUGCUUACUGUGUUUUUCUUGGUGGUUCUCUCAUUGCCUGGAAGACAAAGAAACAGAUUGCAGUUUCUUGUUCGAGUAUAG
RNAcentral lists this ribosomal RNA (390 nucleotides) under Triticum aestivum (bread wheat). RNAcentral describes it as "partial small subunit ribosomal RNA". The record is from RNAcentral. Lineage: Eukaryota; Viridiplantae; Streptophyta; Magnoliopsida; Poales; Poaceae.